GCCAAUAAACCCAUGGGAACAUGAAGGACUCAAAGUGGAAAAGGAAAGCGGUAAGCUUAACACUAUGUUUUAAAGCCUACGGUUAGUUGAAUAUUGUGGGAAAUUAUGGUUGUUGAAAGGUUAUACUUGCAUAAGCUAGUUGAAAAUUGUGAAGAUUGUAUGGCAUGUCAUUUACAAGAAAUGAAAAACGAAUAUUGUGGAUGGAGGAUUGAGAAACAAAGUAUUGAAAGUUAGAUAAAUAACGAUGCGUGUAAGUUAGGAAAUAAUCGAGUGAAAGUGAGAAUGAUUGUUGUUGCCAUAUAUGUGGAUUAUGUGUGGAAAUAUAAGAUGGAUUUGGGUGGAAAUUAUUUAGAAAGACUGAAGUAGACAUGUGACAUCUAAUUAAGUUGCUGGUGAUAUAAUUUAAGGAAUUACGUAAGUAAUGGAUAUAAGUAAUUUUAGUAAAAAUGUAUUAAGAUGUGAGUUGAUUAAAGAUGGUUUCAUGAUAGGAGGAAAAAAAUAAAUUUGAGUUAGGAUUAAUUGAUUGAAGUGCUGCUCGUAUACAUAUGUAAUUAAAUAUAUUGAGUUCGUAUUAUUGCUAGGAAGUGCAAAGAUAAAGUUAGAGUAUUGUGGGGGCAUGUCGGAGUAAAUAACGAGUGACUGGCCAUGAAAAUAGUUAGAGACACCUCCGAUCAAAUAGCGAUGUAAUAUCUCGCUAUAGUAAGGUGAGUGGACUUGCAUUUCAAACUUGUUUUGGGGAAUAUGAAAGAUUCUAUCCAACUUGUCUUAGAAAAAGUACCUUGCGAACAAGCUUUUAGUAAAAUGAUUUUAUAUUGUGAAAAUGUUCUAUGCAAUGGUUUAUGUGUUAUCACAAUAUGAUAAAAUGCAUGUUAUGCAUUGGAUGCUUCUUUGCAUGUUGAUGUGGACCCGGCUCUGUGCUAGUAGGUGUGCACAUAAGCCGUUGCGAACCCGACUAUGUUGAGUAGGAGUGCAUAUAAGCCGUUGCUGACCUUGCUAUGUGCGAGUAGGAGUGCACAUAAGCCGUUGCUGACCCUGCUAAGUGCGAGUAAAAGUGCACAUAAGCCGUUGCUAACCCGGCUAUGUGUGAGUGGAAGUGCACAUAAGCCGUUGCUGACCCGGCUAUAUGCGAGUGGGAGUAUGCAGCCGUUGCUUAUGAGAUGAUGAUGAUGGGCGGUGUACAUGAUGAUUGAUAUAUAUAUAUAUAUGUGGUAUAUGGUUGUAAAUGCAAAUAUGUGAGCAUUUGAUUUGUUGAAAUUUGGGAGUUUACAUGUGUUACAUGUUGCUAUUGUUAUUUUAGCAGGAUGGCUUGUUUGAAAGGAAAAUUAUACUUUUUCCUUGAUGUUCUGACUCUCGCUACAACGAGAGUGAAUCUUGCUGCAGUGAGAAACUCUUGGGUUUGGGGGCCUUCACCAGACUUGAUUCUCGCUGCAGCGAGAAACUUUCUGUCCAUUUUGGCUAACUUGUGGGUUUUGCUAUAUAUUUUGAUUCUUUGGUACCAUAGUUGAGUAUGGAUCUUUUAAGUGAUUUAAUCAUGAGGGGUUUACAUGAGGGGCUUUACUAAGAACUAGAACAAAUUGCAUUGUUUUGAGAAAAUGAGUGCAUCAUGAUUUUGAUAAACAUUCCUUAUGGUAUGCUUGUUCCCUUCCUAUGUUCACUCACUGAGUUUAUACUCACGUUUUCAACUUCAUGUUUUCAGAUUCAGUGGUGGUUGAUACGUAGAUUGAGGUGUCCGCGUACCCCCAUCCCUUGGGUAGGUAUCUUGACACUCAGUAGUCAUAUCUCCCCAUCCAAAGUCACUCCGCUA
This 1804-nucleotide long non-coding RNA is filed under the name Theobroma cacao (cacao). RNAcentral describes it as "long non-coding RNA (TCAC_LNC003794)". Lineage: Eukaryota; Viridiplantae; Streptophyta; Magnoliopsida; Malvales; Malvaceae. The record is from RNAcentral.